Molecule: ribosomal RNA, 267 nt
Filed under: uncultured bacterium
Lineage: Bacteria
Description: partial 16S ribosomal RNA
Rfam family: Bacterial small subunit ribosomal RNA
Source: RNAcentral
GAAUCAACGCUGGCGGCGUGCCUAACACAUGCAAGUCGCACGAGAAAGGGACUUCGGUCCUGAGUAAAGUGGCGCACGGGUGAGUAACACGUGGCUAAUCUACCCUCGAGUGGGGAAUAACCUAGGGAAACCUGGGCUAAUACCGCAUAACACUUACGAGUCAAAGCAGGCAAAUGCGCUUGGGGAGGAGGUCGCGGCAGAUUAGCUUGUUGGCGGGGUAAGUGGCCCACCAAGGCAANGAUCUGUAUCCGGCCUGAGAGGGCGCCA